UCANCCAUAGUUCGCUUUGGAAACUGUCAAACUUGAGUGCAGAAGGGGAGAGUGGAAUUCCAUGUGUAGCGGUGAAAUGCGUAGAUAUAUGGAGGAACACCGGUGGCGAAAGCGGCUCUCUGGUCUGUAACUGACGCUGAGGCUCGAAAGCGUGGGGAGCGAACAGGAUUAGAUACCCUGGUAGUNCACGCCGUAAACGAUGAGUGCUAGGUGUUGGAUCCUUUCCGGGAUUCAGUGCCGCAGCUAACGCAUUAAGCACUCCGCCUGGGGAGUACGACCGCAAGGUUGAAACUCAAAGGAAUUGACGGGGGCCCGCACAAGCGGUGGAGCAUGUGGUUUAAUUCGAAGCAACGCGAAGAACCUUNCCAGGUCUUGACAUCCCGAUGCUAUUUCUAGAGAUAGAAAGUUACUUCGGUACAUCGGUGACAGGUGGUGCAUGGUUGUCGUCAGCUCGUGUCGUGAGAUGUUGGGUUAAGUUCCGCAACGAGCGCAACCCCUAUUGUUAGUUGCCAUCAUUCAGUUGGGCACUCUAGCGAGACUGCCGGUAAUAAACCGGAGGAAGGUGGGGAUGACGUCAAAUCAUCAUGCCCCUUAUGACCUGGGCUACACACGUGCUACAAUGGUUGGUACAACGAGUUGCGAGUCGGUGACGGCAAGCUAAUCUCUUAAAGCCAAUCUCAGUUCGGAUUGUAGGCUGCAACUCGCCUACAUGAAGUCGGAAUCGCUAGUAAUCGCGGAUCAGCACGCCGCGGUGAAUACGUUCCCGGGCCUUGUACACACCGCCCGUCACACCACGAGAGUUUGUAACACCCGAAGUCGGUGAGGUAACCUUUUGGAGCCAGC
Molecule: ribosomal RNA, 843 nt
Filed under: uncultured bacterium
Lineage: Bacteria
Description: bacterial SSU rRNA
Rfam family: Bacterial small subunit ribosomal RNA
Source: RNAcentral